CGUACACUCCUGCGGGAGGCAGCAGUGGGGAAUAUUGCACAAUGGGCGCAAGCCUGAUGCAGCGACGCCGCGUGGGGGAUGAAGGCCUUCGGGUUGUAAACUCCUUUCGCUAGGGACGAAGCUUUUUUGUGACGGUACCUAGAUAAGAAGCACCGGCUAACUACGUGCCAGCAGCCGCGGUAAUACGUAGGGUGCGAGCGUUGUCCGGAAUUACUGGGCGUAAAGGGCUCGUAGGUGGUUUGUCGCGUCGUCUGUGAAAUUCUGGGGCUUAACUCCGGGCGUGCAGGCGAUACGGGCAUAACUUGAGUGCUGUAGGGGUAACUGGAAUUCCUGGUGUAGCGGUGAAAUGCGCAGAUAUCAGGAGGAACACCGAUGGCGAAGGCAGGUUACUGGGCAGUUACUGACGCUGAGGAGCGAAAGCAUGGGUAGCGAACAGGAUUAGAAACCCGUGUAGUCC
This 457-nucleotide ribosomal RNA is filed under the name uncultured organism. Its description in RNAcentral is "partial 16S ribosomal RNA". It matches the Rfam family "Bacterial small subunit ribosomal RNA", at positions 330 to 796 of the family's 1533-position model. The record is from RNAcentral.